RNAcentral lists this small RNA (88 nucleotides) under Salmonella enterica subsp. enterica serovar Infantis. RNAcentral describes it as "partial RtT sRNA". It matches the Rfam family "RtT RNA", at positions 1 to 87 of the family's 130-position model. Rfam says of the family: This family represents a bacterial cis-regulatory element known as RtT RNA. The exact function of RtT is unknown although it is thought that it may be involved in changing the cellular response in relation to amino acid starvation. Lineage: Bacteria; Pseudomonadati; Pseudomonadota; Gammaproteobacteria; Enterobacterales; Enterobacteriaceae. RNAcentral also lists the same sequence under 2 other names. The record is from RNAcentral.
AUAUCUCUCCGUACGGGAAGGAUGAGAAGCUUCGAUUAAGGUUCGAUUCGAGCGCAGCGAGAAAGCGUUGCCGCAGGCAACGACCCGA